AGGAGAGGGACAGUGGACCCCUGGAUAAAGGGGAGGUUUUGUAUCAGUGUUGAGGAGAGGAGAGGGACAGUGGACCCCUGGAUAAAGGGGAGGUUUUGUAUCAGUGUUGAGGAGAGGGACAGUGGACCCCUGGUUAAAGGGGAGGUUUUGUAUCAGUGUUGAGGAGAGGGACAGUGGACCCCUGGAUAAAGGGGAGGUUUUGUAUCAGUGUUGAGGAGAGGGACAGUGGACCCCUGGUUAAAGGGGAGGUUUUGUAUCAGUGUUGAGGAGAGGGACAGUGGACCCCUGGAUAAAGGGGAGGUUUUGUAUCAGUGUUGAGGAGAGGGACAGUGGACCCCUGGUUAAAGGGGAGGUUUUGUAUCAGUGUUGAGGAGAGGGACAGUGGACCCCUGGAUAAAGGGGAGGUUUUGUAUCAGUGUUGAGGAGAGGGACAGUGGACCCCUGGUUAAAGGGGAGGUUUUGUAUCAGUGUUGAGGAGAGGGACAGUGGACCCCUGGAUAAAGGGGAGGUUUUGUAUCAGUGUUGAGGAGAGGGACAGUGGACCCCUGGUUAAAGGGGAGGUUUUGUAUCAGUGUUGAGGAGAGUAGAGGGACAGUGGACCCCUGGAUAAAGGGGAGGUUUUGUAUCAGUGUUGAGGAGAGGGACAGUGGACCCCUGGUUAAAGGGGAGGUUUUGUAUCAGUGUUGAGGAGAGGGACAGUGGACCCCUGGUUAAAGGGGAGGUUUUGUAUCAGUGUUGAGGAGAGUAGAGGGACAGUGGACCCCUGGAUAAAGGGGAGGUUUUGUAUCAGUGUUGAGGAGAGUAGAGGGACAGUGGACCCCUGGUUAAAGGGGAGGUUUUGUAUCAGUGUUGAGGAGAGGGACAGUGGACCCCUGGAUAAAGGGGAGGUUUUGUAUCAGUGUUGAGGAGAGGGACAGUGGACCCCUGGAUAAAGGGGAGGUUUUGUAUCAGUGUUGAGGAGAGUAGAGGGACAGUGGACCCCUGGAUAAAGGGGAGGUUUUGUAUCAGUGUUGAGGAGAGUAGAGGGACAGUGGACCCCUGGUUAAAGGGGAGGUUUUGUAUCAGUGUUGAGGAGAGUAGAGGGACAGUGGACCCCUGGAUAAAGGGGAGGUUUUGUAUCAGUGUUGAGGAGAGGGACAGUGGACCCCUGGUUAAAGGGGAGGUUUUGUAUCAGUGUUGAGGAGAGGGACAGUGGACCCCUGGAUAAAGGGGAGGUUUUGUAUCAGUGUUGAGGAGAGGGACAGUGGACCCCUGGAUAAAGGGGAGGUUUUGUAUCAGUGUUGAGGAGAGGAGAGGGACAGUGGACCCCUGGUUAAAGGGGAGGUUUUGUAUCAGUGUUGAGGAGAGGAGAGGGACAGUGGACCCCUGGUUAAAGGGGAGGUUUUGUAUCAGUGUUGAGGAGAGGGACAGUGGACCCCUGGUUAAAGGGGAGGUUUUGUAUCAGUGUUGAGGAGAGGGACAGUGGACCCCUGGAUAAAGGGGAUGUUUUGUAUCAGUGUUGAGGAGAGGAGAGGGACAGUGGACCCCUGGAUAAAGGGGAGGUUUUGUAUCAGUGUUGAGGAGAGGAGAGGGACAGUGGACCCCUGGAUAAAGGGGAGGUUUUGUAUCAGUGUUGAGGAGAGGGACAGUGGACCCCUGGUUAAAGGGGAGGUUUUGUAUCAGUGUUGAGGAGAGGGACAGUGGACCCCUGGAUAAAGGGGAGGUUUUGUAUCAGUGUUGAGGAGAGGGACAGUGGACCCCUGGUUAAAGGGGAGGUUUUGUAUCAGUGUUGAGGAGAGGGACAGUGGACCCCUGGAUAAAGGGGAGGUUUUGUAUCAGUGUUGAGGAGAGGAGAGGGACAGUGGACCCCUGGUUAAAGGGGAGGUGUUGUAUCAGUGUUGAGGAGAGGAGAGGGACAGUGGACCCCUGGAUAAAGGGGAGGUUUUGUAUCAGUGUUGAGAGGGACAGUGGACCCCUGGUUAAAGGGGAGGUUUUGUAUCAGUGUUGAGGAGAGGGACAGUGGACCCCUGGUUAAAGGGGAGGUUUUGUAUCAGUGUUGAGGAGAGGGACAGUGGACCCCUGGAUAAAGGGGAGGUUUUGUAUCAGUGUUGAGGAGAGGGACAGUGGACCCCUGGUUAAAGGGGAGGUUUUGUAUCAGUGUUGAGAGGGACAGUGGACCCCUGGAUAAAGGGGAGGUUUUGUAUCAGUGUUGAGGAGAGGGACAGUGGACCCCUGGAUAAAGGGGAGGUUUUGUAUCAGAGUUGAGGAGAGGGACAGUGGACCCCUGGUUAAAGGGGAGGUUUUGUAUCAGUGUUGAGGAGAGGGACAGUGGACCCCUGGAUAAAGGGGAGGUUUUGUAUCAGUGUUGAGGAGAGGGACAGUGGACCCCUGGAUAAAGGGGAGGUUUUGUAUCAGUGUUGAGGAGAGGGACAGUGGACCCCUGGUUAAAGGGGAGGUUUUGUAUCAGUGUUGAGGAGAGUAGAGGGACAGUGGACCCCUGGUUAAAGGGGAGGUUUUGUAUCAGUGUUGAGGAGAGUAGAGGGACAAUGGACCCCUGGUUAAAGGGGAGGUUUUGUAUCAGUGUUGAGGAGAGGGACAGUGGACCCCUGGAUAAAGGGGAGGUUUUGUAUCAGUGUUGAGGAGAGGGACAGUGGACCCCUGGAUAAAGGGGAGGUUUUGUAUCAGUGUUGAGGAGAGUAGAGGGACAGUGGACCCCUGGUUAAAGGGGAGGUUUUGUAUCAGUGUUGAGGAGAGGAGAGGGACAGUGGACCCCUGGAUAAAGGGGAGGUUUUGUAUCAGAGUUGAGGAGAGGAGAGGGACAGUGGACCCCUGGUUAAAGGGGAGGUUUUGUAUCAGUGUUGAGGAGAGGAGAGGGACAGUGGACCCCUGGUUAAAGGGGAGGUUUUGUAUCAGUGUUGAGGAGAGGGACAGUGGACCCCUGGUUAAAGGGGAGGUUUUGUAUCAGUGUUGAGUAGAGGGACAGUGGACCCCUGGAUAAAGGGGAGGUUUUGUAUCAGUGUUGAGGAGAGGGACAGUGGACCCCUGGUUAAAGGGGAGGUUUUGUAUCAGUGUUGAGGAGAGGGACAGUGGACCCCUGGUUAAAGGGGAGGUUUUGUAUCAGUGUUGAGGAGAGGGACAGUGGACCCCUGGUUAAAGGGGAUGUUUUGUAUCAGUGUUGAGGAGAGGAGAGGGACAGUGGACCCCUGGUUAAAGGGGAGGUUUUGUAUCAGUGUUGAGGAGAGGAGAGGGACAGUGGACCCCUGGAUAAAGGGGAGGUUUUGUAUCAGUGUUGAGGAGAGGGACAGUGGACCCCUGGAUAAAGGGGAGGUUUUGUAUCAGUGUUGAGGAGAGGGACAGUGGACCCCUGGAUAAAGGGGAGGUGUUGUAUCAGUGUUGAGGAGAGGGACAGUGGACCCCUGGAUAAAGGGGAGGUUUUGUAUCAGUGUUGAGGAGAGGGACAGUGGACCCCUGGAUAAAGGGGAGGUUUUGUAUCAGUGUUGAGGAGAGGGACAGUGGACCCCUGGUUAAAGGGGAGGUUUUGUAUCAGUGUUGAGGAGAGGGACAGUGGACCCUUGGUUAAAGGGGAGGUUUUGUAUCAGUGUUGAGGAGAGUAGAGGGACAGUGGACCCCUGGAUAAAGGGGAGGUUUUGUAUCAGUGUUGAGUAGAGGGACAGUGGACCCCUGGUUAAAGGGGAGGUUUUGUAUCAGUGUUGAGGAGAGGGACAGUGGACCCCUGGUUAAAGGGGAGGUUUUGUAUCAGUGUUGAGGAGAGGGACAGUGGACCCCUGGUUAAAGGGGAGGUUUUGUAUCAGUGUUGAGGAGAGUAGAGGGACAGUGGACCCCUGGAUAAAGGGGAGGUUUUGUAUCAGUGUUGAGGAGAGGGACAGUGGACCCCUGGUUAAAGGGGAGGUUUUGUAUCAGUGUUGAGGAGAGGAGAGGGACAGUGGACCCCUGGAUAAAGGGGAGGUUUUGUAUCAGUGUUGAGGAGAGGGACAGUGGACCCCUGGAUAAAGGGGAGGUUUUGUAUCAGUGUUGAGGAGAGGGACAGUGGACCCCUGGUUAAAGGGGAGGUUUUGUAUCAGUGUUGAGGAGAGGGACAGUGGACCCCUGGAUAAAGGGGAGGUUUUGUAUCAGUGUUGAGGGACAGUGGACCCCUGGAUAAAGGGGAGGUUUUGUAUCAGUGUUGAGUAGAGGGACAGUGGACCCCUGGUUAAAGGGGAGGUUUUGUAUCAGUGUUGAGUAGAGGGACAGUGGACCCCUGGAUAAAGGGGAGGUUUUGUAUCAGUGUUGAGGAGAGUAGAGGGACAGUGGACCCCUGGAUAAAGGGGAGGUUUUGUAUCAGUGUUGAGUAGAGGGACAGUGGACCCCUGGUUAAAGGGGAGGUUUUGUAUCAGUGUUGAGGAGAGGGACAGUGGACCCCUGGAUAAAGGGGAGGUUUUGUAUCAGUGUUGAGGAGAGGGACAGUGGACCCCUGGUUAAAGGGGAUGUUUUGUAUCAGUGUUGAGGAGAGGGACAGUGGACCCCUGGAUAAAGGGGAGGUUUUGUAUCAGUGUUGAGGAGAGUAGAGGGACAGUGGACCCCUGGAUAAAGGGGAGGUUUUGUAUCAGUGUUGAGGAGAGGGACAGUGGACCCCUGGAUAAAGGGGAGGUUUUGUAUCAGUGUUGAGUAGAGGGACAGUGGACCCCUGGUUAAAGGGGAGGUUUUGUAUCAGUGUUGAGGAGAGGGACAGUGGACCCCUGGAUAAAGGGGAGGUUUUGUAUCAGUGUUGAGGAGAGGGACAGUGGACCCCUGGAUAAAGGGGAGGUUUUGUAUCAGUGUUGAGUAGAGGGACAGUGGACCCCUGGAUAAAGGGGAGGUUUUGUAUCAGUGUUGAGUAGAGGGACAGUGGACCCCUGGAUAAAGGGGAGGUGUUGUAUCAGUGUUGAGGAGAGGGACAGUGGACCCCUGGAUAAAGGGGAGGUUUUGUAUCAGUGUUGAGUAGAGGGACAGUGGACCCCUGGAUAAAGGGGAGGUUUUGUAUCAGAGUUGAGGAGAGGGACAGUGGACCCCUGGUUAAAGGGGAGGUUUUGUAUCAGUGUUGAGUAGAGGAGAGGGACAGUGGACCCCUGGAUAAAGGGGAGGUUUUGUAUCAGUGUUGAGGAGAGGGACAGUGGACCCCUGGAUAAAGGGGAGGUUUUGUAUCAGUGUUGAGGAGAGGAGAGGGACAGUGGACCCCUGGAUAAAGGGGAGGUUUUGUAUCAGUGUUGAGGAGAGGGACAGUGGACCCCUGGUUAAAGGGGAGGUUUUGUAUCAGUGUUGAGGAGAGGGACAGUGGACCCCUGGAUAAAGGGGAGGUUUUGUAUCAGUGUUGAGUAGAGGAGAGGGACAGUGGACCCCUGGUUAAAGGGGAGGUUUUGUAUCAGUGUUGAGGAGAGGGACAGUGGACCCCUGGUUAAAGGGGAGGUUUUGUAUCAGUGUUGAGGAGAGGGACAGUGGACCCCUGGUUAAAGGGGAGGUUUUGUAUCAGUGUUGAGGAGAGGGACAGUGGACCCCUGGUUAAAGGGGAGGUUUUGUAUCAGUGUUGAGGAGAGGGACAGUGGACCCCUGGUUAAAGGGGAGGUUUUGUAUCAGUGUUGAGGAGAGGGACAGUGGACCCCUAGUUAAAGGGGAGGUUUUGUAUCAGUGUUGAGGAGAGUAGAGGGACAGUGGACCCCUGGUUAAAGGGGAUGUUUUGUAUCAGUGUUGAGGAGAGGGACAGUGGACCCCUGGUUAAAGGGGAGGUUUUGUAUCAGUGUUGAGGAGAGGGACAGUGGACCCCUGGUUAAAGGGGAGGUUUUGUAUCAGUGUUGAGGGACAGUGGACCCCUGGUUAAAGGGGAGGUUUUGUAUCAGUGUUGAGGAGAGGGACAGUGGACCCCUGGUUAAAGGGGAGGUUUUGUAUCAGUGUUGAGGAGAGGGACAGUGGACCCCUGGUUAAAGGGGAGGUUUUGUAUCAGUGUUGAGGGACAGUGGACCCCUGGUUAAAGGGGAGGUUUUGUAUCAGUGUUGAGGAGAGGGACAGUGGACCCCUGGUUAAAGGGGAGGUUUUGUAUCAGUGUUGAGGAGAGGGACAGUGGACCCCUGGUUAAAGGGGAGGUUUUGUAUCAGUGUUGAGGAGAGGGACAGUGGACCCCUGGAUAAAGGGGAGGUUUUGUAUCAGAGUUGAGGAGAGUAGAGGGACAGUGGACCCCUGGUUAAAGGGGAGGUUUUGUAUCAGAGUUGAGGAGAGGGACAGUGGACCCCUGGUUAAAGGGGAGGUUUUGUAUCAGUGUUGAGGAGAGUAGAGGGACAGUGGACCCCUGGUUAAAGGGGAUGUUUUGUAUCAAUGUUGAGGAGAGGAGAGGGACAGUGGACCCCUGGUUAAAGGGGAUGUUUUGUAUCAGUGUUGAGGAGAGGAGAGGGACAGUGGACCCCUGGAUAAAGGGGAGGUUUUGUAUCAGUGUUGAGGAGAGGGACAGUGGACCCCUGGUUAAAGGGGAUGUUUUGUAUCAGUGUGUCAGUGUGAUGUGUUACUCUGCUCUGUC
Salvelinus fontinalis (brook trout) is the source of this 6520-nucleotide long non-coding RNA. RefSeq lists it as uncharacterized. The transcript is spliced from 3 exons. Lineage: Eukaryota; Metazoa; Chordata; Actinopteri; Salmoniformes; Salmonidae. The record is from RefSeq and is a predicted model, not a curated record.